UUGGCGAAGGCGGCUCUCUGGUCUGUCACAGACGCUGAGGCUCGAAAGCGUGGGUAGCAAACAGGAUUAGAUACCCUGGUAGUCCACGCUGUAAACGCUGAGCGCUAAGUGUUGGAGGGUAUCCACCCUUUGGUGCUGUAGCAAACGCAUUAAGCACUCCGCCUGGGUAGUACAAUCGCAAGGUUGAAACUCAAAGGAAUUGACGGGGGCCCGCACAAGCGGUGGAGCAUGUGGUUUAAUUCGAAGCAACGCGAAUAACCUUACCAGGUUUUGACAUCGAAUGAACACUUUAGAGAUAGAGCAUUCCCUUCGGGGACAUUCAGACAGGUGGUGCAUGGUUGUCGUCAGCUCGUGUCGUGAGAUGUUGGGUUAAGUCCCGCAACGAGCGCAACCCUUAUUGUUAGUUACCAUCAUUAAGUUGGGCACUCUAGCGAAACUGCCGCAGAUAAUGUGGAGGAAGGUUGGGAUGAGGUCAAAUCAUCAUGCCCCUUAUGACCUGGGCUACACACGUGCUACAAUGGGAAGUACAACGAGCAGCGAACUCGCAAGAGUAAGCGAAUCUCUAAAAUCUUCUCUAAGUUCGGAUUGUAGGCUGCAACUCGCCUACAUGAAGUCGGAAUCGCUAGUAAUCGCGGAUCAUCAUGCCGCGGUGAAUACGUUCCCGGGCCUUGUACACACCGCCCGUCACACCAUGAGAGUUUGUAACACCCGAAGUCGGUGAUGUAACCGUAAGGAACUAGCUGCCUAAGGUGGGAUAGAUGAUUGGGGUGAAGUCGUAACAAGGUAGCCGUAAAUCGA
RNAcentral lists this ribosomal RNA (798 nucleotides) under uncultured bacterium. RNAcentral describes it as "bacterial SSU rRNA". It matches the Rfam family "Bacterial small subunit ribosomal RNA", at positions 712 to 1510 of the family's 1533-position model. The record is from RNAcentral.